Molecule: ribosomal RNA, 484 nt
Filed under: uncultured bacterium
Lineage: Bacteria
Description: partial 16S ribosomal RNA
Rfam family: Bacterial small subunit ribosomal RNA
Source: RNAcentral
AAUGAACGCUGGCGGCAGGCCUAACACAUGCAAGUCGAGCGGAUGGAGGGAGCUUGCCCCUGGAUUCCGCGGCGGACGGGUGAGUAAUGCCUAGGAAUCUGCCUGGCAGGAGGGGAUAACGACCGGAAACGGGCGGUAAUACCGCCUACGGGCCGAUGGAGAAAAUGGGUGAUCGUUGGAACGCACCGUCUCAGAUGAGCCUAGGUGGGUAUUGCUAGUUUGUGGGGUAAAGGGCUACCAAGGCGACGAUUCGGAACUGGUCUGAGGGGAUGAUCGGUCACACUAGAACUGGGACACGGUCCAGAGUCCUAAGGGAGGCAGCAGUGGCGAAUAUUGGACAAUGGGGGGGAGCCUGAUCCAGCGAUGGCGCGUGUGUGAAGAAGAUCUUCGGUUUGUAAAGCACUUUUAGUUGGGAGAAAGGGCAGUAAGUUGAUACCAUGCUGUAUUGACGUUACCAACAGAAGAAGCACCGGCUAACUACGUG